Molecule: long non-coding RNA, 2202 nt
Organism: Micropterus salmoides (largemouth bass)
Lineage: Eukaryota; Metazoa; Chordata; Actinopteri; Centrarchiformes; Centrarchidae
Exons: 3
Source: RefSeq, a predicted model, not a curated record
UCCAGACCUCUCAGGUCGUCUGGGGCAGGUCUGCUUUCUGUCCCCAGAGUCAAAACUAAACAAGGAGAAGCAGCGUUCAGUUAUUAUGCUCCGUAUACAGUCAGGUCCAUAAAUAUUGAGACAUCGACGCAAUUCUAAUCUUUUUGGCUCUAUACUCCACCACAAUGGAUUUUAAAUGAAACGAACAAGAUGUGCUUUAACUGCAGACUUGGCCAGGUGUGUGUUAUUCCCUCAUUAUCCCAUUUACAAGGAGCAGAUAAAAGGUCUAGAGUUCAUUUCAAGUGUGCUAUUUUCUAUUUAUUUGCUAUUUGCUAUUUAUCAGUGAAGCAAGACUGAAAAAUCAAAACAAACCCAGCAGAGAGAUAGCAAAAACAUUAGGUGUGGCCAAAUCAACUGUGAGCUCAGCAACACCAAAAGACCCGGAAGACCACGGAAAACAACUGUGGUGGAUGACCGAAUAAUUAAAAUAAUAAUAUAAUAAUAAUAAUAAUAAUAAUAAAAAGAUUAGAAUUGUGUCGAUGUCCCAAUAUUUAUGGACCUGACUGUAUCUGGAACAAACUCCCAGAUAACUGCAGGUCUGCUGAAACUCUUCUUUUAAAUCAAGACUGAAGACUUUGCUUUUUACUGCUGCUUUUAAUUAAAUUAAACCUUUCACUGCACUGUAACGUCCGGUUUUCAUUGUCUUUGUUUUCAGAUAUUCAGUGCCCUGCACUGUAGAUUUUACUGUCCUAUUUUACCCGGUUUUUAAAAUGUGUAGUUUUAUUUUUUCAAUUUCCCUUUGUUGUUUUUAUGUUUAAUGUAAAGCACUUUGAAUUGCCUUGUUGCUGAAAUGUGCUAUACAAAUAAACUUGCUUUGCCUUACAGAGUGAGUCAACGAGAAUCGGGGGACAUCCCGCAGGUAGCAACAGACGAAAGAGCACAGGGAAGACCAGGAGGCCGCCGUACAGAUGUCGUCCACUGUGCAACGCCACUCGUGGAGUGCGCCCUGAUGGCGUCCAGGGGACACACAGGCCUGUGGGAUAGCCUCGCACAGACAGUGAUACAGGUGCUGCGAACAGGCGCUGUGAAGGCGCCAGGUGGCCGUGCGCACUACAUAGCAGAAAAGCGUGCGCACCGGGCGGAGGAGGUGAGAUGUAGCUUCAUCCUCAGACCCAUGGGGGGGAGGAAAGAAGCCGGGAGGGUAAUCACCUGUGAUCAGAAGGAGCUGGUGAUGCUCUGAGGCGUGAAAGCAGUAUUAGGACAGCAGAGCUGCCGUCACCCUGGAUCAGGAGACACAACGGAGCCACAGAGAGGGCAGCCAGAUCGCUGACCCUCUUGGCCGACGUCAGAGCCACGAGUAGAGUGACCUUAGUCGAAAGGAACCGCAGAGCCGCUGUAUCCAAGGGCUCGAAAGGCGCUUGGGUCAGGACCCGUAAAACUGCACCUCCUUCAGGAAACGCUUCACCAGCAGUUUUUGCGUCGGUGAUUAUUCUACCGAAGCUGAAGCACCGAUGUAGUUCCCCGGUUAAUCUGGUCUGAAGUUAAUAAAACAUGAACCACUCACCGGCUGAGCCUCGACCAAAGAUUGAAACAUGGACCAAAGAAGACGUCCACCAGUGGCUGAUGGCCGAGGUCAAAGUUAAUCGGAGUUGUGCAGACUUAUUUGUUGAAGAGGACGUGUCAGGAGAAGUUCUAUUUGCUCACCAAAAGAAAGAUAUUUUAGAUUUAGGAGUAAAACAUGGUCCUGCUGUCAAAAUCACAUCUUAUCUAGAAAAAAUGAAGACAGGAUCACAACAUGAGUCAGAGUUCCCAGCUGGUGUGAAAAACUGGACAAAGGAGCAAGUGGCCGAGUGGUUACUGCAGCACGGGAAGGUCGAUGGCAGGAAGGCAGAACGAUUCAAAGAGGAAGACGUGUCUGGAGAUUGCCUCGUUUGCUUCGGGAAGCAGGAUUUCCUGGAUCUGGAGCUGAAAAAGGGUCCUGCUGUAAAGAUUCUGAAAGAGCUGGAUCAACUGAAAAAUAAACCAGAGCCGACACCGUGUCGCGUCCUUCCUAUCGCACAGCGCAAAAUGAAUCUCUGCAGAAAAAUCUGCCUCCGGAGAAACCACCAAAACAGAAGAAAACUCCUAAAGAGGUGGAGGCACUAACGCCACAAGGGAAGACAAAAGAAACAGCUGAGGUAAAAUUCAACGUUGUAUAUCAUUUACAAACAACAUAAUACUGCC